Molecule: ribosomal RNA, 351 nt
Filed under: uncultured bacterium
Lineage: Bacteria
Description: bacterial SSU rRNA
Rfam family: Bacterial small subunit ribosomal RNA
Source: RNAcentral
AGAGUUUGAUCCUGGCUCAGGAUGAACGCUAGCUACAGGCUUAACACAUGCAAGUCGAGGGGAAACGACAUCGAAAGCUUGCUUUUGAUGGGCGUCGACCGGCGCACGGGUGAGUAACGCGUAUCCAACCUGCCCAUCACUUGGGGAUAACCUUGCGAAAGUAAGACUAAUACCCAAUGAUAUCUCUAGAAGGCAUCUGAAAGAGAUUAAAGAUUUAUCGGUGAUGGAUGGGGAUGCGUCUGAUUAGCUUGGUUGGCGGGGUAACGGCCACCAAAGCAACGAUCAGUAGGGUUCUGAGAGGAAGUCCCCCANAUUGGAACUGAGACACGGUCCAAACUCCUACGGGAGGCA